RNAcentral lists this transfer RNA (71 nucleotides) under Caudoviricetes sp. RNAcentral describes it as "tRNA-Met". It matches the Rfam family "tRNA". From Rfam's summary of the family: Transfer RNA (tRNA) molecules are approximately 80 nucleotides in length. Their secondary structure includes four short double-helical elements and three loops (D, anti-codon, and T loops). Lineage: Duplodnaviria; Heunggongvirae; Uroviricota; Caudoviricetes. The record is from RNAcentral.
AGCGCUGUAGAGUAAAGGUAGCUUACGGGACUCAUUCUCCCGAGAUUCAGGUUCGAAUCCUGACGGCGCAA